GGAUGUGAGGGCGAUCUGGCUGUGACACCUGUCACCCCACUGAUCGCCAGGGCUGAUUGGGUGAUCUGACUGGCUGGGCAAGUGUCCCCUUGUUCCUUCACUGUUCCAUAUGCAUCCCUCCUGAAGCUGCACACUUGGUCAAAGAGAACCACCACCCAUGAUAGAGAAGGACCAUUUCCUCAGUCAGGGUAUAGGAGUAGCCACACUCCUCUGCUAGAACCUCCUAACAAGCUCUCAAGGAAUAGGGCAAGAAAAUAACAACAAAGCUUUGAUUUUUAUCAGAAAAUAUCAUCUUGUGUUUGAAGCUGCACUCUGAU
RNAcentral lists this small nuclear RNA (317 nucleotides) under Heterocephalus glaber (naked mole-rat). RNAcentral's name for it is "7SK RNA". It matches the Rfam family "7SK RNA". From Rfam's summary of the family: 7SK was discovered as an abundant small nuclear RNA in the mid-70s but a possible function has only recently been suggested. Lineage: Eukaryota; Metazoa; Chordata; Mammalia; Rodentia; Bathyergidae. The record is from Rfam by way of RNAcentral.